This is an RNA transcript of Nematostella vectensis (starlet sea anemone), 1807 nucleotides long. RefSeq lists it as uncharacterized. Lineage: Eukaryota; Metazoa; Cnidaria; Anthozoa; Actiniaria; Edwardsiidae. The transcript is spliced from 11 exons. The record is from RefSeq and is a predicted model, not a curated record.
UGAUGAUUUCUUAUGCAAAUGAACGUUAAUUGUUAUCUUUACUUGACAUUACGCUUCUAGCACAUUUUGGCACGGAAAAGUAAGAUGCACCCAACACUAGUUCAAAGACAUAAAACAGAUAUUUCCUUCGCCAAACGGUCCUUAGAUUUGAAACAAAUCUUAUCAAACUCGCUAUCUUAACCAUAUGGUAUGGGACGUGACAGUCAAAUUCCAUUUCGAAAAACUCCUGCUGAUAAAAAUUAAUCAAGGUUUCUCUAUUACACACUACACUCUUUCGAAUGCCAUUUGACAACGAGUGUCAAAGUAGAAAGGAAAGAAAAGAAGAAAGAAGAGGAAAAACAUCCAUGGUUUGCAAAGUGCAUCAUGGCGUGGUCGUUGCUGUUACUGCUUCUGAAAGUUCUGUUAAUUCAAGGAGUAGACUCACUGUCAUGUGAAUUCAACAAGGAUUUUUGUGGAUGGCAGCACCCAGUAAAUGCCACGGAUAAAUGGAUCUUGACUUCAGAACUGCACGGUAACUACACGACCUUCUUUCGCAAUGGGCAGCUAAUUUACCCCAACUUCACGGGGCAUGGAGAUCUUGUCCUCUCCUAUUACUUGUUCAGUAAUAGUUAUGAAAAAAAUGAGGAGUUGAGGGUGAAGGUAGGAAAUGCCACACUGCUGUCUGUAUUCGACGAGAGCAUUUAUUGGCCUUUAAGUUGGAACUCAUCUCGACUUCGGGUUGAUGCUGAUCGGGAAAAGGUCAUUAUCGAGGGAAUAAUUCGUAACAAUGCAGUGUCAGGAAUUGUGAUUGACAGCAUCAAGUUCUACGAGAAAAACGCUUCUUCUUGCCCGCCACUCUUGACUCCGUCGAAUGGCACGAUGAACUGUACACAAGACAGCACUGCUGUAGGCACCGUGUGUGUCUUUGGCUGCGAAGGUGGUCGGCGAGUCGUCGGAUCUACGGAGAGGCGGUGUCAGCCGACCGGUGAAUGGUCAGGUGUUCAGCCCGCAUGCCAAACCACGAUUAGACUAACUGAGGGGUACACCCACAUGGAUGGCGACGUUGAAAUACAAGUCGACGGUCGAUGGGGAAAGAUUUGCAUUGGCGCAAGAUGGAUACAGGAAGAAUUAGUCGCCAUGUUAACCUGCCGAUAUUUUGGAUACGAGGGGGGUGCAUACCUAAUUACGUCACCAUGGCAACGCAUACCUUGUGAUGCCUGGAUGGAUCUAAGGUCAUGUGACGGCACCGAAGCAUCGGUUACUGAAUGUGUUGGAACAUUCGAUCGGUACAUCUGUCCCUAUCACAGAAAACUGGCAGUGAAUUGCAAUAAGGCACCAUGUCCCGGCAAUUGUUCUUGCUCCGGUGAGGCCGUAAAUGAGAUCAGAUGUAGGAAGCAAGAUAUCCUGCCACAAGAACUGAUACUCAUUCCCUACUACACAGAGAAAGUACACAUACAUGGAGUGGACUGGAGUAUGUUGAAAAGUAUAAUGGAAAACCCGGCGAAUAGCAAAAAACGCCUUAACAUUCGGUUGCUGAUCAUGCAGUCUCGGUACAUGAACCCCCGCCGAUCUGGAUGAAACUUGGCCAGUUUGAUGUGCUCCCCAGAGGACCUCCACACCUCCAACGGUUUGAAUCUAAGCUAUUGAACCGCAACAGGCCAGCACAUCUGCGUCAUCCGUAGAAGCACUUUCUCCUCGUUGUUUAGAAGGUGAAACUAGUAAGAGUGUCAAUGUGUUAAUCGGGUCGUCAUCUUCCGCUGGCCUAGAAAACACCUCGGCAAAGUGGGAUCAAACACCCAAGCACAGGCUUACCAACGUCACAGUCAGU